AAAGCAGGCCAGACAACCGCUGCCGCAGAUCUCCCGGGAUUUGGCGGGAGAGGAAAGUCCGGGCUCCACAGAGCAGGAUGCCGGCUAACGGCCGGACGCCGCGAGGCGAGGAACAGGGCCACAGAGACGAGCGUAUUCAGUUACGGUGAAACGCGGUAACCUCCAUCCGGAGCAACACCAAAUAGGCAGGCGAUGAAGCGGCUCGCUGAGUCUGCGGGUAGGUGGCUUGAGCCGGUCAGCAAUGACCGGCCUAGAGGAAUGGUUGUCCAUGACAGAACCCGGCUUAUCGACCAGCUUUUCCG
This 302-nucleotide RNase P RNA is filed under the name Thiobacillus sp. RNAcentral's name for it is "RNase P RNA component class A". It matches the Rfam family "Bacterial RNase P class A". Rfam says of the family: Ribonuclease P (RNase P) is a ubiquitous endoribonuclease, found in archaea, bacteria and eukarya as well as chloroplasts and mitochondria. Lineage: Bacteria; Pseudomonadati; Pseudomonadota; Betaproteobacteria; Nitrosomonadales; Thiobacillaceae. RNAcentral also lists the same sequence under 2 other names. The record is from RNAcentral.